GUAAAUUCCAGCUCAUUUCAAGAGAAAAAGCAGUAGGAAGACACUUAUCUGAAAAGUUGGACUUGCCAUUGCUCAUGUAAUGGAAAUUUUACAGUCUCCAGUAAUAACAAGGAAAGUGCUUCAUCUUCAAAGCGCCUUGAAAACAUUUGUUAUCUGAAAAUCUGCAGGAUUGGAUGUCCUUCCACCGUUUAAAGUCUCUCCCACUACUGCACAAGCACUGUAAACAAGGAGGAUGCAGCAGCCACGCAGAUGGGGAGAGGAUGAGGUGUCCCUGCUGCCUGUUCCCAGCACAGGAGGGCUUGGGUUGCACUGAGCCGCAACUAACGGGAGGGCUGUGGCCCCUUGGCUUCUUCUGCUUUGUUCAGCAGAAGCCAGUCAUGCUUUGAGAAGCCUACCUAAAAGUUGUGUUAGUUUCUGUAAUGGACAUAAGACAAUUUAUACUCUGGACAUAUGAAUGAAAUAAAUAGAUAUAUAAAGGCUUCCUCUAAUAUGAG
Molecule: long non-coding RNA, 494 nt
Filed under: Apteryx rowi (Okarito brown kiwi)
Lineage: Eukaryota; Metazoa; Chordata; Aves; Apterygiformes; Apterygidae
Description: lncRNA (ENSARWG00000010971.1)
Source: RNAcentral